Molecule: ribosomal RNA, 114 nt
Filed under: Acanthosepion pharaonis
Lineage: Eukaryota; Metazoa; Mollusca; Cephalopoda; Sepiida; Sepiidae
Source: RNAcentral
UUACGGUCAAAUCACGCUGAAACACCGGUUCUCGUUCGAUCACCGAAGUUAAGCAUCGUAGAGCCAGGUCAGUACUUAUAUGGGGGACCGCUUGGGAACACCUGGUACUGUAAG